Molecule: long non-coding RNA, 1033 nt
Organism: Diachasmimorpha longicaudata
Lineage: Eukaryota; Metazoa; Arthropoda; Insecta; Hymenoptera; Braconidae
Exons: 4
Source: RefSeq, a predicted model, not a curated record
CACGAAUCAGUAAUGUUACAAUUGGCAGGCGCACCCUUUGUCGCAGACGCCGCUAAGAUUCUACCUCGACCGUUGGUUAGUCGCUGGCUGUACCACUGUUGCUGAAUAGAUCGCCGGCGUCGCCUCGGCAAAUUGGACAGAUGUUUAUGCGUAACGGUGGAGUGUUUGUUGGUGGGCCAGUUUGUUCCUGAGAAAAGUGAGACGAUGGGAGAGACUGUUGGGGCACUUGUCCUCGUGACUGUUGUCCGUGCUGUUGGGGAUUUACUUUGUAACCUGCACUCGAUCCACCCACUGCACCGUGAUAGACUUCCUUUCCAGAAGGGCCUGAGGACGUACCCACACCCGGACAGUCCCUGAUAAAUUACGCUCAGAUGACCGUUAGGAGACCAACGCAAAUGCAUGCUAAAUAACUGAGGUGAGUUAUCAGAGAUAAUAACUACGAUGACGUUGAUCACGCGUACCGAGUGCAUCCCAACCCCCCUCCCCCUUCACCCCGAGGCCUAAGGACACAGCUCAAAUGCAUCAAAAUCGAUGGACUUGAAGAGGUGUAAAUUUCCUUUUACAAUCGAUUGGACGUCACACACACGUCAAACGAAUCUAAAAUCGAUACAAUAUACAGUAACGGAUUUAUCAACAUCGGUAGGACUGGCUCGAAAUCGGCAGAAUAAAUAAUUUUAUGUUAAUAUUAAUUUCUGAUUAAUCUGAAAGAACAUUAAAUGAAUUUUUUGUCAAUUAUGACGACUGAUAAAUUUUAGCGGAAUAAAGAUAAAUAAAUAAUUGCCAAGUUGCAAUGAUUAAGGAAUAGUUGAUGUCUAAUUACGAUUAUUAGCUUACACACAAACAAAAUAUUAAAAUCAACAUUAAUACGCUGUCUAGAAAAAAUAUUCUGUAAAAAAUAAUAUCAAUGCCGAUCUCCCCACUGGAAGCAAAUUAUUUAUUCACCGAUAUAAAUAAUCGUCCCGGUGAUCACCUCACCCCAAAAAUGAUAACCAAAAUGAUCACAGUACGUCAGAAAGAGCGACAAAGGGACCUG